CUGGCUCAGAAUGAACGCUGGCGGCAUGGAUUAGGCAUGCAAGUCGAACGAGAAAGCCCCUUCGGGGGCGAGUAAAGUGGCGAAAGGGUGAGUAACACGUGAGGAACCUGCCCUCCAGUCCGGAACAAUCCUGUGAAAACGGGCCCGAAACCGGAUGCCGGCCCCCACUGCAUGGUGGGUGGCCGAAACAUUUAUGGCUGGAGAAUGGCCUCGCGUCCCAUUAGCUAGUUGGCGGGGUAACGGCCCACCAAGGCUGCGACGGGUAGGUGGUCUGAGAGGAUGGUCACCCACACUGGGACUGAGACACUGCCCAGACUCCUACGGGAGGCUGCAGUCGAGAAUCUUCCGCAAUGGGCGCAAGCCUGACGGAAGCGAUGCCGCGUGAGGGAAGUAGGCCUUCGGGUUGUGAACCUCUGUCGACGGGGACGAACGCAAUGACGGUACCCGUCAAGAGAGCCACGGCUAACCACGUGCCAGCAGCAGC
This 484-nucleotide ribosomal RNA is filed under the name uncultured bacterium. Its description in RNAcentral is "bacterial SSU rRNA". It matches the Rfam family "Bacterial small subunit ribosomal RNA", at positions 19 to 518 of the family's 1533-position model. The record is from RNAcentral.